AAAUUGACCUCAAAUCAGGUAGGACUACCCGCUGAACUUAAGCAUAUCA
This 49-nucleotide ribosomal RNA is filed under the name Amanita yuaniana. Its description in RNAcentral is "partial 25S ribosomal RNA". Lineage: Eukaryota; Fungi; Basidiomycota; Agaricomycetes; Agaricales; Amanitaceae. The record is from RNAcentral.